CACAGGGAGGUAGUGACAGUAAAUAACAAUGCAGGGCCCUUCGGGUCUGCAAUUGGAAUGAGUACAAUUUAAACCCCUUAACGAGGAACAAUUGGAGGCAAGUCUGGUGCCAGCAGCCGCGGUAAUUCCAGCUCCAAUAGCGUAUAUUAAAGUUGUUGCAGUUAAAACGCUCGUAGUCGAAUUUUAGACAAGGACGACCGGUCUACCGUAUGGUAUGACUGGAUGUUCCGCGUCUCUCCUUUGGGGAACAGAUACGAGAGUAUCCGGGAACCAAGUAUUACUGUGAAGAAAUUAGAGUGUUUAAAGCAGGCGUUUGCUUGAAUACGUUAGCAUGGAAUAAUAAGAUAGGACUUUGGUUCUAUUUUGUUGGUUUGAGGACCAAGGUAAUGAUUAAUAGGGACAGUUGGGGCAUUAGUAUUCAGUAGUCAGAGGUGAAAUUCUUGGAUUUACUGAAGACUAACUAAUGCGAAAGCAUUUGCCAAGGAUGUUUUCAUUGAUCAAGAACGAAAGUUAGGGAUCGAAGACGAUUAGAUACCGUCGUAGUCUUAACCAUAAACUAUGCCGACUAGGGAUCGGUGGCACUCUGUUUAGACGCAUCGGCACCUUAUGAGAAAUCAAAGUUUUUGGUUCUGGGGGAGUAUGGUCGCAAGGCUGAAACUUAAAGGAAUUGACGGAAGGGCACCACCAGGAGUGAGCCUGCGCUUAAUUUGACUCAACACGGGAAACUCACCAGGUCCGGACAUAGCAAGGAUUGACAGAUUGAGAGCUCUUUCAUGAUUCUAUGGGUGGUGGUGCAUGGCGUUCUUAGUUGGUGAGUGAUUUGUCUGGUUAAUUCCGUUAACGAACGAGACCUUAACCUGCUAAAUAGUAUCGCAAACCGGCGUUUGUAGAUGCUUCUUAGAGGGACUGACCACGUUUAGUGGUAGGAAGUUUGAGGCAAUAACAGGUCUGUGAUGCCCUUAGAUGUCUGGGCCGCACGCGCGCUACACUGACAAAGUCAGCGAGUAUAUAACCUUGGCCGGAAGGUCCGGCAAUCUUGUGAAACUUUGUCGUGCUGGGAUAGACCAUUGCAAUUAUUGGUCUUCAACGAGGAAUUCCUAGUAAGCGCAAGUCAUUAGCUUGCGUUGAUUACGUCCUGCCCUUUGUACACACCGCCCAUCGCUACUACGAUU
RNAcentral lists this ribosomal RNA (1172 nucleotides) under uncultured Rozellomycota. RNAcentral describes it as "SSU rRNA". It matches the Rfam family "Eukaryotic small subunit ribosomal RNA", at positions 455 to 1690 of the family's 1831-position model. The record is from RNAcentral. Lineage: Eukaryota; Fungi; Rozellomycota.